Molecule: RNase P RNA, 305 nt
Filed under: Bacteroidota bacterium
Lineage: Bacteria; Pseudomonadati; Bacteroidota
Also listed under: 1 other name
Description: Bacteroidetes bacterium (hot springs metagenome) RNase P RNA component class A
Rfam family: Bacterial RNase P class A
About the family: Ribonuclease P (RNase P) is a ubiquitous endoribonuclease, found in archaea, bacteria and eukarya as well as chloroplasts and mitochondria. Its best characterised activity is the generation of mature 5'-ends of tRNAs by cleaving the 5'-leader elements of precursor-tRNAs.
Source: RNAcentral
GGGGAUAGGGGCGUCUGCGCUGAGGGGCUGUCGCCCCUCAGAGGAAAGUCCGGGCGUCAGGGAGCAAGCCGCCCUCCGCAAGGAGGGGCUGUAUGCCGCAAGGCAUGCAGACGGAUAGGGUCACAGAAAACAUACCGCCCCUCAGGGGUAAGGGUGAAAUGGGACGGUAAGAGCGUCCCCGCGGACAACCCCCGGCUGACGCAAGGCUAAGCAGUCGGCGAUGACCGCUCCCAUAGCCGACGGGUAAGCCGCUUAGAGAAAUGCAGACGUAGACACAGAACCCGGCUUACUACCUAUCCCCGCCU